Molecule: ribosomal RNA, 500 nt
Filed under: uncultured bacterium
Lineage: Bacteria
Description: partial 16S ribosomal RNA
Rfam family: Bacterial small subunit ribosomal RNA
Source: RNAcentral
AUUGAACGCUGGCGGAAUGCUUUACACAUGCAAGUCGAACGGCAGCACGGACUUCGGUCUGGUGGCGAGUGGCGAACGGGUGAGUACUGUAACGGAACGUGCCCAGUCGCGGGGGAUAACGCAGUGAAAAGUACGCUCAUCCCGCAUACGCCCUAUGGAUGAAAGCGGGGUAUCGCAAACUCUCGCGUGUUUGGAGCGGCCGAUAUCAGAUUAGGUAGUUGGCGGGGUAAAGGCCCACCAAGCCAACGAUCUGUAGCUGGUAUGAGAGGACGACCAGCCACACUGAAACUGAGACAGGGUCCAGACUCCUACGGGAGGCAGCAGUGGGGAAUUUUGGACAAUGGGCGAAAGCCUGAUCCAGCCAUUCCGCGUGCAGGAUGAAGGCCCUCGGGUUGUAAACUGCUUUUGUACAGAACGAAAAGGUUUCUACUAAUACUAGGAGCUCAUGACGGUACUGUAAGAAUAAGCACCGGCUAACUACGUGCCAGCAGCCGCGGUAA